RNAcentral lists this long non-coding RNA (304 nucleotides) under Nicotiana benthamiana. RNAcentral's name for it is "long non-coding RNA (NBEN_LNC019652)". Lineage: Eukaryota; Viridiplantae; Streptophyta; Magnoliopsida; Solanales; Solanaceae. The record is from RNAcentral.
AAUAACUAAUGAAGAAUCACUAUAGGAUAGAGAAGGCAGUAUAUUCUCAGCAAGCCGAGAGAGCUGAGAGCCCGAACUCUUUCGGCUCAAAUGUUGAUUCGCUGCAUCAUCAUUCUCUUCUCGGAAGUUACUUAAGGUCUUCAAUGUGUCAGAAGACAGCACCCGGCAUGUAACUGUUUUUCGGCUCAAAUAUUGAUUCGCUGCAUCAUCAUUCUCUUCUCGGAAGUUACUUAAGGUCUUCAAUGUGUCGGAAGACAGCACCCGGCAUGUAACUUUGGCAUGCUAAUCUCUCUAAGUUCGGAGC